This is a long non-coding RNA of Mustela lutreola (European mink), 957 nucleotides long. RefSeq lists it as uncharacterized. NCBI's taxonomy places the organism in Eukaryota, Metazoa, Chordata, Mammalia, Carnivora, Mustelidae. The transcript has 7 exons. The record is from RefSeq and is a predicted model, not a curated record.
CAUAAUAGAGACGGACAAGUUCUCUUAUUUAAAGAGUACCUGAAGUGAGGGAACAAAACCCCAAAUCACCUGGGAUGGUGUGGGCCUAACUGCACUGCAACCUGAUGGAAAGGAAGAGCCAGGGUCCUGGACCUACAACCUGACUGCUGUGGCACCCAUUCUGCCCACCAGUUCUUGAGGGUACAGCUUUUCAGGAAACACAGUGAGAGAGAGAGAGAACACAAGCAGGUCCAGGCCGAGUGGGAGAAGGAGAAGCAGGCCUCCCAUGGAGUAGGAAGCCCCAUGUGGGGCUAGAUCCCAGGACCCUAGGAUCGCGACCUGAGCUGAAGGCAGAUGCCCAAUAACUGAGCCACCCAAGCACCCCUGAGGGAAGAUCUUAUGAGGAUCAUCCAUAAAUGUCCCGAGACACAGCAGAGGGCCAAGAAUGGCAUGGUAGGCAAAAGACAGAGGCUCUGAGUCCACAAAUGGAUUUCUGUUUGGACACUUAAGAAGAAGUGACAUCAAGAGCAGCAACCUAGCCUACUGCACUCAUGGUGAGACCCCAAGCUGAUUCUCAGACGAUGCCACUGCCAUUCAUAAUUCAAGCUUUCAGCAAGGCUCACUACAGUGCACGAAGAAGACAGAAGUCCUAUUCUCUAUGUUACAUCCCCAGCAUCCGCAAUACAGUCUGACGUGUGGUGGGCGGCCUCGGAAUAUCUGAGAGGUAACAUAGGAAUUCCGACCAGUUGAAAACUGAUAACCACAGAUGUGACAUAUGCAAAGUAAAAAGAGAAAUCCGUGGAGGAAGGAGAAGCAGAAGAAUCUGCUAUCCUGAGAAUCAAGGCCGAAAGUGUCAGCACGAGGGAAGAAUGGAUGCAGUUAAGAGGAAUGGAGUGAAGAGGGCGCUAGACUUUGUAUUAGGUUCUUUUCCUGUUCAUAUUCUGUCUGCUGACUCUCAGUCACGUGACUUUUUUGCAG